GGCUGAAAUUCGCCUUCCAUGAAGCUGGAAUUGCUAGUAAUGGCAGGUCAGCAUACUGCCGUGAAUACGUUCCCGGGCCUUGUACACACCGCCCGUCACACCAUGAGAGUUGGGAAUACCCGAAGCCUGUGAGCUAACUUAUAGAGGCAGCAGUCGAAGGUAGAAUCAAUGAUUGGGGUGAAGUCGUAACAAGGUAUC
RNAcentral lists this ribosomal RNA (198 nucleotides) under uncultured bacterium. RNAcentral describes it as "partial 16S ribosomal RNA". It matches the Rfam family "Bacterial small subunit ribosomal RNA", at positions 1303 to 1500 of the family's 1533-position model. The record is from RNAcentral.